GGAUUGGAGGAUGAAGCCAUACCUGCAUACAAGUUUGAAGCAAAGGUUUUGGCAUGUUAGUACUCAAGAGAAACACCAUGAGCAACAAACUUGUAACUUGAUGCACACCUCAGGCUUAACAAUGCACAUUCAUAAUGGGAAACCCAACAAAGACACACAAACAAAGCAUGUAACAACAAGAAACAGUUAGAACAACACAAAAAAAAUUGAUGAAAAAAAUGGUGAGAGUGCAGGAGGCGCCUGGGCGCCCUUCAAGGGGCGCUGGGGCGCGAGAAGUGCAGAUAAAGUGGUUGUAGGUGCCGGUGGCGCCUGGGCGCCCUUCAAGGGGGCGCCUGGACGUGAAAAGUGCAGAACAGGGUCUGCAACGUGACUGGCAGGUGGCGCCUGGGCGCGAAUUAUGCAGAAAAUUGCAGCUCUUGGUUCAGCAAUGCAAGAGUCACCCAGAACAUACAACAGUAUUAUCAACACAGAUUUUAACAAUCAAACUAAGCUACAAACAGAUUUGAACAAAAACAACACCAAAAACAAGUUCAAAAAAGAAAGAAAAAAUGAAAAGAAAGGGAAAAAAAUUUCAACAUACUUGAGUUGGAGUGGAUGGGAGUGAUUGUUGUUGAGAUCGAACCUUGAGUGGAAUGAUGGAGUGAGUGAGGGUUUGUGGGUGAGUGGAGAAAUUUAGGAAAGGGAAGGGGAGAUUGGGUGUUUUGCAGUAGUUGAACAAGAGAGGGGGAGUGGUUUGUGAGAGUGGCAACGUGAAAGGGGAAAAAGUGAGAGGGUGAGUUGAAAUGGGAGAAUGUGUGAGAGUUGAGUGCACGGAGGGUGAGGGGAAGCAGAGUGUGUGAGUGGCGCUGGAAAGAGGCGCUAGGGUUUAUAAUAAUGGGCCAAGCGCUGUGCAGAGGGCCCAACUCAGAAAACCCAAUUCUGCCAAGCCCACGCUGAGCGCCCCCCCUUGGGGCACCUGGGCGCGAGAUGUGCAGCAGAAC
This 980-nucleotide long non-coding RNA is filed under the name Vigna radiata. RNAcentral's name for it is "long non-coding RNA (VRAD_LNC002022)". Lineage: Eukaryota; Viridiplantae; Streptophyta; Magnoliopsida; Fabales; Fabaceae. The record is from RNAcentral.